UGUAUAGAGAUCAGACUGUAGGAUAUUUCACUUCAUCUCCAACUUGCUUUCUAUACGUUUCGUACUCAAUUGUGUAAGAGGAUUGCAGUCUUAGAAAUUCUAUAUAUAUUAUAAUAUAUUUCCAACUAGCUCUCUAUACGUUUCGUACUCAAUUGUGUAAGAGGAUAUUUUUCUAGGAGUUUUUGCAGUCUUAGAAAUUCUAUAUAUAUUAUAAUAUAUUUCCAACUAGCUUUCUAUACGUUUCGUACUCAAUUGUGUAAGAGGAUUGCAGUCUUAGAAAUUCUAUAUAUAUUAUAAUAUAUUUCCAACUAGCUCUCUAUACGUUUCGUACUCAAUUGUGUAAGAGGAUAUUUUUCUAGGAGUUUUUGCAGUCUUAGAAAUUCUAUAUAUAUUAUAAUAUAUUUCCAACUAGCUCUCUAUACGUUUCGUACUCAAUUGUGUAAGAGGAUAUUUUUCUAGGAGUUUUUGCAGUCUUAGAAAUUCUAUAUAUAUUAUGAUAUAUUUCCAACUAGCUCUCUAUACGUUUCGUACUCAAUUGUGUAAGAGGAUAUUUUUCUAGGAGUUUUUGCAGUCUUAGAAAUUCUAUAUAUAUUAUAAUAUAUUUCCAACUAGCUCUCUAUACGUUUCGAACUCAAUUGUGUAAGAGGAUAUUUUUCUAGGAGUUUUUGCAGUCUUAGAAAUUCUAUAUAUAUUAUAAUAUAUUUCCAACUAGCUCUCUAUACGUUUCGUACUCAAUUGUGUAAGAGGAUAUUUUUCUAAGAGUUUUUACAGUCUUAGAAAUUCUAUAUAUAUUAUAAUAUAUUUCCAACUAGCUCUCUAUACGUUUCGUACUCAAUUGUGUAAGAGGAUAUUUUUCUAAGAGUUUUUACAGUCUUAGAAAUUCUAUAUAUAUUAUAAUAUAUUUUGUACGGUUAAGCAAACGGAGGAACUCGGAGUUUAAAUAACCAACUCUUGUGAGGAAACGCAAUUAUGGCUGAACAAAGUAAGACGACUAACACUAAGGCCGAUACUGUCGAGGGGGUGACACAAACAGAGCAGUCUAUUCCACCCGUAUUUGGAGAUGCAUCCGAUAUUCUUGUCAUCGAUGGGGAACAAGAAAACCUCAUCGGAGAGCCAUUGUCUAUGCGAACUCGCAUUUCAUUGUUCAAACAACGUUUUGCUGUUAAAUUUACUCCUCGAUUGUUGGUACUCCUAGGAAUUUUUACGCUAUUAGGGGCUAAAUUGUACGCUGACUGGCAUGAGCAGAAGCGUCGUGAGGCAGAAGAGACGAAGUUUUACGGACUAAUGGAUUCUUUUUUCAAACUCAAAUCACAUUUUUAUUAAGCGGCCUAAAUCAAAAGAGCUCCAUAUUCUAUACACAAAUGGGUUCUUAUUACUAGUUAUUGUUAACCACAAAAAAAAUGUUAAAUUCGCGAUAUUGAAAAUUAAUUGUUCUAGUUAAAAAUAUAAAAGCCCUGAGAGGUUGUGCUAUGAUUAA
Drosophila willistoni is the source of this 1477-nucleotide long non-coding RNA. RefSeq lists it as uncharacterized. The record is from RefSeq and is a predicted model, not a curated record. The transcript has 10 exons. NCBI's taxonomy places the organism in Eukaryota, Metazoa, Arthropoda, Insecta, Diptera, Drosophilidae.